This 1859-nucleotide ribosomal RNA is filed under the name Citrus unshiu (satsuma mandarin). RNAcentral's name for it is "bacterial SSU rRNA". It matches the Rfam family "Eukaryotic small subunit ribosomal RNA". The record is from RNAcentral. Lineage: Eukaryota; Viridiplantae; Streptophyta; Magnoliopsida; Sapindales; Rutaceae.
CCUGGUUGAUCCUGCCAGUAGUCAUAUGCUUGUCUCAAAGGAUUAAGCCAUGCCAUGUGCUAAGUACUGAACUAAUUCAGGACUGGUGAAACUGCGAAUGGGCUCAUUAAAAUCAAGUUAUAGUUUGUUUUGAUGGUAUCUUGCUACUCGGAUAACCGCUAGUAAUUCUUAGAGCAAUACGUGGCCCCACCAACCCCGACUUCCUGGAAGGGCAUGCAUUUAUUAGAUAAAGAAGGGUCCGACGCGCGGGCUCUGCCCGUUGCUCUGAUCGGAUUCAUGAUAACUCGACGCGAUCGCAAGGCCACUGUGCGCGACGCAUCAUUCAAAUUUCUGCGCCUAUCAACUUCGGCAUGGGUAGGGGCAUAGGAGGCCUACCAUUGGUGGGUACGGGGUGACGCGAGAAUUAGGGUCGAUUCCCGGACAGGGACCUGAGAAACGGCUACCACAUCCAAGGGAAGGCAGCAGGCGCGCAAUUACCCAAAUCCUGACACGAGGGUCAGUGGACAAAAAUAACAAUUACCGGCUCUAUCGGAGUCUUGGUAAUUGGAAUGAGUACCAAUCUAAAUCCCUAACGAGGAUCCAUUUGGGAGGGCAUAGUCUCGGCUGCCCAGCAGCCGGCGGGUAAUUUCCCAGCUCCAAUUUAGCGUAUAUUUAAGUUGUUGCAGUUAAAAAAGCUCGUAGUUGAGACCUUGUGAUGGGGUCGGGCCGGCUCCGGCCUCGUGGUGUUGCCACCGGCCGUCUCGGUCCCCUUCUGCCGGCUGAUGGCGCUCCUGGCCUUAACUUGGCCGGCGGUCGGUGGCCACGCGGCCGCUGUUACUUUUGAAGAAAUUAGAGUGCUCAAAAAGCAGCUACGCCUCUGUAUACAUUGAGCAAGCUGGGAUAACAUCAUUAGGAUUCGGUCCAUUUCUGUUGGCCUUCGGGAUCGGGAGCUAAUGAUCUAACAGGGACAGUUCGGGGGCGGGCAUUCGCUUAUUUCAUAGUCAGAGGCUGAGAAUUCUUGGAUAUUUGGAAAGGCACGAACAACUGCGCGAAGGCAUUUGCCAAGGAUGUUUUCAUUAAUCAAGAACGGAAAGUUGGGGGGGCUUCGGGAAGACGAUCAGAUACCGUCCUAGUCUCAACCCGAUAAACGAUUGCCGACCAGGAUUCAGCGGAUUGUUACUUUAGGACUCGCUUGGCACCUUAUGUGAGAAAUUCAAAGUCUUUGGGCUUCCGGGGGGAGCUCAUGGGUCGCAAGGGGCUGAAACUUAAAGGACAUGAACGGGAAGGGCACCACCAGCGAGUGGGGAGGGCCUGCGGCUAAUUUUGACUCAACACGGGAAAUCUUACCACGGUCCAAGACAUAGUAAGCGAUUUGACAGGACCUGGAAGAGCCUCUUUCUUGAUUCUAUGGGUGUGGUGCGAGGCCGUUCUUAGUUUUGGUGGAGGAUUGGGGUCAUGGUUAAUUCCUGUUAACGAAACGGAGACCUCAGCCUGCCCUAACUAGCUAUGGCGGAGGUAUCCGCCUCCGUGGGCCAGCUUCUUAGGGGAGGGACUAUGCGGGCCGCUUAGGCCAAGGAAGUUUGAGGCAAUAACAGGUCUGUGAUGCCCCUUAGAUGUUCUGGGCCGCACGGCGCCGCUACACGAUGUAUUCAACGAGUCUAUAGCCUUUGGGGCCGACAGGGGGGUAAUCUUUGAAAUUCAUCCUCGCAUGCGGGAGAUCAUGCCAAUUGUUGGUUCUUCAACGAGGGAAAUUCCUAGUAAGCGCGGGAGUCAUCAGCUCGGCGUUGACCUUACGUCCCCUGCCCUUUGUCACACCGGGGCCGGAUCGGCUUUCCUACCGGGAUUGAAUGGGUCCCCCGCGUGAAGUGUUCGGAUCGCGG